This 251-nucleotide ribosomal RNA is filed under the name uncultured prokaryote. Its description in RNAcentral is "partial 16S rRNA". It matches the Rfam family "Bacterial small subunit ribosomal RNA", at positions 525 to 775 of the family's 1533-position model. The record is from RNAcentral.
ACGGAGGGUGCAAGCGUUAUCCGGAUUUAUUGGGUUUAAAGGGUGCGUAGGCGGCUUUUUAAGUCAGUGGUGAAAUCCUGCAGCUCAACUGUAGAACAGCCAUUGAAACUGAAGAGCUUGAGUAAUCUUGAGGUAGGCGGAAUGUGUAGUGUAGCGGUGAAAUGCUUAGAUAUUACACAGAACACCGAUUGCGAAGGCAGCUUACUAAGGAUUUACUGACGCUGAUGCACGAAAGCGUGGGGAUCAAACAG